AGUGAACGCUGGCGUUAGGCCUAACACAUGCAAGUCGAACGGCAGCACAGGAGAGCUUGCUCUCUGGGUGGCGAGUGGCGGACGGGUGAGGAAUACAUCGGAAUCUACUCUGUCGGGGGGAUAACGUAGGGAAACUUACGCUAAUACCGCAUACGACCUACGGGUGAAAGCAGGGGACCUUCGGGCCUUGCGCGAUUGAAUGAGCCGAUGUCGGAUUAGCUAGUUGGCGGGGUAAAGGCCCACCAAGGCGACGAUCCGUAGCUGGUCUGAGAGGAUGAUCAGCCACACUGGAACUGAGACACGGUCCAGACUCCUACGGGAGGCAGCAGUGGGGAAUAUUGGACAAUGGGCGCAAGCCUGAUCCAGCCAUACCGCGUGGGUGAAGAAGGCCUUCGGGUUGUAAAGCCCUUUUGUUGGGAAAGAAAUCCAGCUGGCUAAUACCCGGUUGGGAUGACGGUACCCAAAGAAUAAGCACCGGCUAACUUCGUGCCAGCCGCCGCGGUAA
This 505-nucleotide ribosomal RNA is filed under the name uncultured bacterium. RNAcentral's name for it is "partial 16S ribosomal RNA". It matches the Rfam family "Bacterial small subunit ribosomal RNA", at positions 29 to 523 of the family's 1533-position model. The record is from RNAcentral.